RNAcentral lists this ribosomal RNA (301 nucleotides) under uncultured bacterium. RNAcentral describes it as "partial 16S ribosomal RNA". It matches the Rfam family "Bacterial small subunit ribosomal RNA", at positions 509 to 809 of the family's 1533-position model. The record is from RNAcentral.
CAGUCGCCGCGGUAAUACGGAGGGUGCAAGCGUUAAUCGGAGUUACUGGGCGUAAAGCGCACGCAGGCGGUUUGUUAAGUCAGAUGUGAAAUCCUCGAGCUUAACUUGGGAACUGCAUUUGAAACUGGCAGGCCAGAGUCUUGUAGAGGGGGGUAGAAUUCCAGGUGUAGCGGUGAAAUGCGUAGAGAUCGGGAGGAACAUCAGUGGCGAAGGCGGCCAUCUGGGACAACACUGACGCUGAGGCACGAAAGCGUGGGGAGCAAACAGGAUUAGAUACCCCGGUAGUCCCUGUCUCUUAUAU